AUUGAACCGCUGGCGGAAUGCUUUACACAUGCAAGUCGAACGGUAGAGGGGGCAACCCCUUGAGAGUGGCGAACGGGUGAGUAAUAUAUCGGAACGUGCCCAGUCGUGGGGAUAACGUAGCGAAAGUUACGCUAAUACCGCAUACGAUCUAAGGAUGAAAGCGGGGGAUCGCAAGACCUCGCGCGAUUGGAGCGGCCGAUAUCAGAUUAGGUAGUUGGUGGGGUAAAGGCUCACCAAGCCAACGAUCUGUAGCUGGUCUGAGAGGACGACCAGCCACACUGGAACUGAGACACGGUCCAGACUCCUACGGGAGGCAGCAGUGGGGAAUUUUGGACAAUGGACGCAAGUCUGAUCCAGCCAUUCCGCGUGCAGGAUGAAGGCCCUCGGGUUGUAAACUGCUUUUGUACAGAACGAAAAGGUCUCUAUUAAUACUAGGGGCUCAUGACGGUACUGUAAGAAUAAGCACCGGCUAACUACGUG
This 480-nucleotide ribosomal RNA is filed under the name uncultured bacterium. Its description in RNAcentral is "bacterial SSU rRNA". It matches the Rfam family "Bacterial small subunit ribosomal RNA", at positions 34 to 507 of the family's 1533-position model. The record is from RNAcentral.